UAGACCAGAGCUCCGGCUCCUGCCCAGCGCCGGCCCCAGCCAGGCUAGCUGCAGCUUCCAGAUCCCAGACCUACAGAUCCCCCCUACAGAGGGUAACUGCAUCUGCCCAGGGCUCCUGCUGCCCUCUGUGCCUGGGGGGCUGGGCCAGCCACAUGGAUGAUUUCCAGGGUGAUAUUAAAAAUAUUGAACGAUGGCAAUAUGCAACAACAGGGUCCCAGAGGCCUCCUGCUCUACGAGGAGUUACCCUUUAACGUCUGGAUCGCGAGAAGGCAUUAGUUCCUGGGGCCGCUGUACCAAAGGGCAGCAAAGUGACAUGGAACUCACAGGCCAGCAGGUCCUGGUGAGGCUCUGGAUGGCACAGAAGGGACCUAGACCCAGGAGUCCUCAGUUGAGCCAGCAUUCAAGCAAUUGACAAAUACAGGAAUAAAGUCACAGUGACACCCUUUCUGAUGGGCAGCCCAAAUAUGUCCUAAGGGCAGCCUUUGAAACGCCUCUGACGGCACCUGCGCCUCCACGCACCACCCCACUCUUCUGCUUCCUUCCCAGCACCACAAAGGCUUCCUCAGUUCCUGACAUCAUCUCGCUUACGUGUCCGCUUACAUGUUACCACGUGGCCCCACAAGAACGUGAGCUCCUUGAGGGCCGGGUUCCACUUGAAUCGCCCAUGGCCUAUGGCCUUGUGUGUAGGAAGAUGUCUGCUCAUCCUAGCUGCUCAAGAUUCAGACCUGCAGGUGCCCAGAGCAAUGACCAGCCCUGUGGAACUAGAGGAAUAAGCCACGUUCAAGGGUUGGUGGCAGGCGUGCCACAGGUGUUCCUGCGGGGGUGGGCAGGCAUGCUGGGGCAGGCCACACCUUGCUUGUGGUGGGGCUGGCCCAGGACACCGAAGGACGGGGACACAGAGGCUGACAAAGCAUGGCGUGGGGCGGGGGCGGUUGCCAGAGGUCUCUCAGCUCUGCCAAGGUGAUUUCCUUCAGGGCCACAGAAGAGGAGGGGGCCACGCAGAGCAGGAGGAAACGCACCCUGUAAAACCCAGGCUCCUGCACCCAUCCGAGGCUAAAAACACCCACUCAGCUGCACACUCAGGACCCCACCCAACGACGUUUCAGAAGAGGGACAUUAGCACCUGGGAGACACUGGCCAGCUAGUCCGUGGCUGUCCAUCAGAUACAGCCACUGGGUUCAACAAACUGAACACUUUGGGACCUUAUGGACCUCCACCUAUAGUGUGUCUGCAGCUCAGCAGGGAGCAAAAUGGGGCUGGUUGGUUGAAGACCUGGGCAGGAACCAAGCAGACCUGCCUCACAGUCGUGGCCCAUCUGUACCUGGGGUUGGAUCUCAGGCUCCCCGGGCUAGGCCCUCUGCCCUGGAUAGGGCUCUCUGAGGGGCAGGAGCAGAAGUGAGAUGGGGACAGGCAUGUAGGAAGGCACGGGAGACACUUCAUCUGGGGUUGGAUGGAGAUUGGACCUUAGCUGAAUCACCGAGCAAGAUUUUGAACUUCUUUGAGCCUCAGUUUUAUCAUCUGUAGGAUGGGCUCAGUCACUCCAGGAUUGGCCAAAGGACAGAUGAAGCUUGGGCUUAAGACACCCAUAGAGCUGGGCAUCCUAUCAAAGGGGAUGGAUGGUUUGAUAUUUCAAAUAUUGAUGCACAGUGGUCAGCUCAGGCAGCUAAGACUUUCUGAUAUUUUAAAAUAAAAUAAAAGUUAACCUUCCGGUUAAAUCAUAGCAUUUCACUUGACACAUAAUAGGUGCCCAAUACACGUUGUUGCUUCCCUCUGUCCUGGCUUCUCAGAGGUGAAGUGGGAAGAGGCUACAGAAAGCUUUCACCAAAUGGACCUUUGGUGAGGGGUCCUCUGACGCUUUUCUGGAGGACAAAAGCCACAUCCUCUGCGUCCUGCAUCCCUGUAAAGCCCAUGUAUGGUUGUCGGUGUGGAGUUCCAGCUCUGAAGAAAGUGCUUGCUCUGGGGAUAGGGCCACCUUUCCAUUGUGAACUGGGCACUGAGUCAGUGAGCAGAUGACCGGGCACCCUGCCAGUUAUCAGCAUCGAGGGCGGGACAUAUGACGGGGCGAUGCGGAGUCCUGGUGGGAUGGGGCAAGUGCCGCUUUAGAUGAGGUGACAUUUGAGGAGGUCCCCGAAGGACGGGAGGGAGCAAGACGUCCAGGUCCCUGGGGGAGCAGCUUCGCAGAAGGAAGGGCAGUGUGAGGCCUCAGCAUGGGCAGGGCCUAGGAUGCCCAGAGCACACAGGGAGGGACUGAGCAGAUCAAAGUGAGCCGGGACAGCCAAGGGCGAGGAGAUGGAGGGUCUUGGAGGGCAGUGAGGCCAGGGAAGCUACUCGCUUUGUCUUUUAUUCUAGGUGGGAUGGGAGGGGACCCCUGGAGCGUUCUGAGCUGAGGAGAGACAGCUCUAACUUAACCUCUCAACAGAUGGCUCUGGCUGCAGUGUUAAUCAUAGAUGAGGGGGCAAGGGUGAAUGACCAAGAACAGUCAUGAGUGUUUUGCAACGAUGCAGGGCAGAGAUGGUGGUGGCUUGGGUUGGAGGCUCACCAGAUCUACGCGGAUUGCCCGCCGUAAUCAAAGGUAAAGUUGGCCAAUAUUCCCUGCUGACACCGUAGUGGAGCUAACAUAGCAGAUAUCCUCCGGGCACUGAUGGGGCAGGUGCUUUUCGUGCCAGCUUUCCCAAUAAAACAGCUAACAUUUAUUAAAUGUCUGCUAUGUACCUGCCAGGCACUGCUAGCCUGAAUAGAGCAGGGCUCAGAACCAGAGAUGCUGGCAGGAGACUUCAUUUCACACGUUAUUGAGUGUCCCUUACUAAGGAGGUUCCAAGCGUCAGGGAGAAGCUAAAGACACGUGUGGCUAGUGCAGUUCAGCAGAAUUGAGGUGACAUGAAGCAGGGUGACCUGAGGCUCCAGGAUGAAGCAGCGUGGGCCGCCCCUAUGUCAGCAGCAUCUUAGUUCCCUCCCUUCCCCUCCCUGCGGGAUGGAGCUCUGUGCCAGGCCAGGGGAACAAAGUGGAACAAACUAUAGACCUUGCCUGUCAAAGGAUUCCAACCAGCCAGGGAGAGACACACACUUCCUGGAAAGUCUCUUUCGAGCAUAGGUAACAGAAAAGCCAACAGAAACAGACUCAAUUGAGAAGGAAUUUCAGAGUCUGACAUAGCUGAAGAAUCCAGGAGUAUGUCUAGCUUCAGGAGAUGCUUAACCAAGGCCCAUAGGAUAUCACCAGAAUGCCAGGACCCUGUGAAACAGGAUGGGGAAGAAUGGAUCCCCAAGAGGUUAUUACUGGAAGUAGAGAGAUGGGCGCUGGGCAGCCACAAGCCACCCAAGAGACUCUGCAACAGCCAGAUGGACGCCAAGCCAAACUAUGAAAAGUUAUCUGAGAGGAACAUUGAGGAUGGAGAGGUUGCUUCCAACUGGGGUGAUCAGCAAGUGGUCACAGGAAAGGUGGUGAGCUGAGAGUUAAAGGAGCAUUUCCAUAACGCCAUUCGCAGCAACAUGGAUGGGCCUAGAGAUGAUCAUACUAAAUGAAGUAAGUCAGAGAGAGAAAGACAAAUACCAUAUGAUAUUGCUUACACGUGGAAUGGAAAAUAUGACACAAAUGAACUCUAUCUAGGAAACAGAAAUAGACUCACAGACAUAGAGAACAGACUUGUGGUCGCCAAGGGGGAGGGGGAAUGGAAGAGGGAUGGAUUGGGAGAUGCAAACCAUUAUAUACAGAAUGGAUAAACAAGGUCCUAGUGUAUAACACAGGGAACUAUGUUCAAUAUCCUGUGAUCAACCAUAAUGGAAAAAGUAUGAAAAAGAAUGUAUACAUGUGUAUAACUGAAUCACCUUGCUGUACAGCAGAAAUUAACACAAUAUUGUAAAUCAACCAUACUUCAAUAAA
Globicephala melas (long-finned pilot whale) is the source of this 3877-nucleotide long non-coding RNA. RefSeq lists it as uncharacterized. The record is from RefSeq and is a predicted model, not a curated record. NCBI's taxonomy places the organism in Eukaryota, Metazoa, Chordata, Mammalia, Artiodactyla, Delphinidae.